AAACCGUUUGUGAAUCGGAGCAAACGGCCUUAGGAUGGGACUGCGGCGGAUCAUGGUAGUUGGUAGGGUAACGGCCUACCAAGCCGAUAAUCCGUAGGGGCCAUGGGAGUGGUGGCCCCCAGAAUGGCACUGAGACAAGGGCCAUAGUCCUACGGGAUGCAGCAGGCGCGAAACCUUCGCAAUGCGCGUAAGCGUGACGAGGGGACUCUGAGUGGUAUUAGCUUUGCUAGUGCCUUUUGCCCAGUGUAAAAGCUGCCGUCACACGGCAGGUUAUAGAGCUGGGAGAAUAAGGGUGUGGGCAAGACUGGUGGCAGCCGCCGCGGUAACACCAGCGCCUCGAGUGGUACCCGCGAAUAUUGGGCCUAAAGCGUUCGUAGCCGGUCCUGUAAGUCCGCUGUGAAAUGUUACCGCUUAACGGUAACGCGUGCAGUGGAUACUGCUGGACUUGGGAGCGGGGGAGGGAAGAAGUACUUCCGGGGUAGCGGUAAAAUGCGUUGAGCCUGGAAGGACUUUCAGUGGCGAAGGCGUCUUCCCAAAACGCGUCCGACGGUGAGGAACGAAAGCUGGGGGAGCAAAUCGGAUUAGAUACCCGAGUAGUCCCAGCUGUAAAUGAUGCUGACUUCGGUGUUUCCCUGGCGUAAGCCACGGAAGUGCUGUAGCGUAGGUGUUAAGUCAGCCGCCUGGGAGUACGAGCGCAAGCGUUGAACUUAAAGGAUUAGGCGGGGAGCACCACAAGGGGUGGAUGCUACGGUUCAAUUGGAUACAACGCCAGGAACCUCACCACAGGCGACAGCAGUAUGAAGGCCAGACUGAAGAUCUUGCCUGACAAGCUGAGAGGUGCUGCAUGGCCAUCGUCAGCUCGUGGUGUGAAUCUCGUACCAAGCGAGAGCACAAACUGUCUGGUUAAGUCCAGCAACGAGCGAGACCCAUACCUUUAGUUGCAAACUCUAUCUCCGGAUGGGGUGCACUCUAAAGGGACUGCCCGUGUUAAAUGGGAGGAAGGAGUGGGCGACGGUAGGUCAGUAUGGCCCGAAUCCUGUGGGCUACACGCGGCAUACAUUGGCCGGAACAACGGGCUGCAACGCCGAGAGGCGAAGCUAAUCUCUUAAAUCCGGUCUCGGUUGGGAUCGAGGGUUGAAACUCACCCUCGUGAACGUGGAAUCCCUAGUAAUCGCGAGUCAUCAUCUCGCGGUGAAUACGUCCCCGCUCCUUGCACACACCGCCCGUCAAGUCAUCCAAAUGCGUUUUCGAUGAGGCCCAGGUUCUUGCCUGGUUCGAAUUGAA
Molecule: ribosomal RNA, 1284 nt
Filed under: uncultured archaeon
Lineage: Archaea
Description: bacterial SSU rRNA
Rfam family: Archaeal small subunit ribosomal RNA
Source: RNAcentral